RNAcentral lists this long non-coding RNA (966 nucleotides) under Jatropha curcas. RNAcentral describes it as "long non-coding RNA (JCUR_LNC001025)". The record is from RNAcentral. Lineage: Eukaryota; Viridiplantae; Streptophyta; Magnoliopsida; Malpighiales; Euphorbiaceae.
UCCUUCUCUAAUCAAUGGACGCGUUCGCGUCGUUCUUCGACUCCCAAUCGGCUUCAAGGAGUAGCUGGACCUACGAUUCGCUGAAGAACUUCCGCCAGAUCUCUCCUGUCGUCCAAACUCACCUUAAGCAGGUAUAAUUUGUUAUGAAUUGGAUAAUUUUGGUUUGACUUGAGAUCUUGUGCCAUGUAAUGUAUAAAUUAGGAUAAUCGUGUAUUUAGUUAAAUUCCCAUCAGUUUAAGGGACAUAUAGGUUUUCCCGUCUUAUAUGGUUAUGUUCUAUCACUGAGUGAGUUUUCGUGACGAGAAAUUACUGGAACCAUUUAGCUUUCUUUAAUCAUGUUCGCUUUUAUGCUAUUCGUUUGUCCGUGGAUUACACUGUAUUGAGGUAAAUUUGCGGUAGAUAUAUGUUUCUGAAUUGGAGUUUUUUUUUGAAUCUUUUAGAUUGUGUUUGGCUGUGGGAAAAUUUUUUGGAUCUGCUCCUUAGCAAAAGUAUUCCAUUGAAAAUGCAUCAUAUUAGGUCAAUAUUCUUGUGUGUUAAUUCUUCAUUUUUCCAUCUUCGUACCUAGAAAUAUGAGGUCUAUGAUAUAUGUGUUGAAAUAUUAAGAAUACAACAUUUGAAAUUAUGUUUAUGUGUUGAAUUUCUUCUUGAAUUAGGUUUGUAUUUUAAAUCCAAUAAUUAUCCUGUAUGUAGUGUUCGUUCUGAUAUGUCCGAGAGUCUUUUUCUCUAUUUGUUUCUGUUCAGAACUUUUACUUCUCAAAUAUAUUUGGAGCUUGAAUACUUGAAGCAAGUUGAUCGUAGAAAUUUUCGUUGCUUCAAUUUCUUAACUUGCAGGUCUAUUUGACCUUAUGUUGCGCACUGGUUGCAUCGGCUGCUGGGGCUUACUUGCACAUUCUGUGGAAUAUUGGUGGUCUUCUGACAACUUUUGCGUGCUUGGGAUGUAUGGCUUGGCUACUUUCUGUACCUCCU